GCCGCUAUAGCUCAGUGGUAGAGCACUGGUCUCGUAAACCAGGGGUCGUGAGUUUUAACCUCACUUGCGGCA
Molecule: transfer RNA, 72 nt
Filed under: Rhipicephalus microplus (southern cattle tick)
Lineage: Eukaryota; Metazoa; Arthropoda; Arachnida; Ixodida; Ixodidae
Description: tRNA-Thr
Rfam family: tRNA
About the family: Transfer RNA (tRNA) molecules are approximately 80 nucleotides in length.
Source: Rfam by way of RNAcentral